RNAcentral lists this ribosomal RNA (482 nucleotides) under uncultured bacterium. RNAcentral's name for it is "partial 16S ribosomal RNA". It matches the Rfam family "Bacterial small subunit ribosomal RNA", at positions 30 to 507 of the family's 1533-position model. The record is from RNAcentral.
AUUGAACGCUGGCGGCAUGCUUUACACAUGCAAGUCGAACGGUAACAGGCCGCAAGGUGCUGACUAGUGGCGAACGGGUGAGUAAUGCAUCGGAACGUGCCCAGUCGUGGGGGAUAACUACUCGAAAGAGUAGCUAAUACCGCAUACGAUCUAUGGAUGAAAGCGGGGGACCGUAAGGCCUCGCGCGAUUGGAGCGGCCGAUGUCAGAUUAGGUAGUUGGUGGGGUAAAGGCUCACCAAGCCAACGAUCUGUAGCUGGUCUGAGAGGACGACCAGCCACACUGGGACUGAGACACGGCCCAGACUCCUACGGGAGGCAGCAGUGGGGAAUGUUGGACAAUGGGCGGAAGCCUGAUCCAGCAAUGCCGCGUGCAGGAAGAAGGCCUUCGGGUUGUAAAAUGCUUUUGUACGGAGCGAAACGGCUCUGGUUAAUACCCGGGGCUAAUGACGGUACCGUAAGAAUAAGCACCGGCUAACUACGUG